RNAcentral lists this ribosomal RNA (456 nucleotides) under uncultured bacterium. Its description in RNAcentral is "bacterial SSU rRNA". It matches the Rfam family "Bacterial small subunit ribosomal RNA", at positions 28 to 480 of the family's 1533-position model. The record is from RNAcentral.
GACGAACGCUGGCGGCGUGCCUAACACAUGCAAGUCGAACGAGAAUCUUUGAACAGAUCUUUUCGGAGUGACGUUCAAAGAGGAAAGUGGCGGACGGGCGAGUAACGCGUGAGUAACCUGCCCAUAAGAGGGGGAUAAUCCAUGGAAACGUGGACUAAUACCGCAUAUUGUAGUUAAGUUGCAUGACUUGAUUAUGAAAGAUUUAUCGCUUAUGGAUGGACUCGCGUCAGAUUAGAUAGUUGGUGAGGUAACGGCUCACCAAGUCAACGAUCUGUAGCCGAACUGAGAGGUUGAUCGGCCGCAUUGGGACUGAGACACGGCCCAGACUCCUACGGGAGGCAGCAGUGGGGAAUAUUGCGCAAUGGGGGCAACCCUGACGCAGCAACGCCGCGUGCAGGAAGAAGGUCUUCGGAUUGUAAACUGUUGUCGCAAGGGAAGAAGACAGUGACGGUACCU